UAUCUUCGGUCCACUGAAGUUCAAGUGG
Molecule: small RNA, 28 nt
Filed under: Bombyx mori (domestic silkworm)
Lineage: Eukaryota; Metazoa; Arthropoda; Insecta; Lepidoptera; Bombycidae
Description: ovarian small RNA-23814
Source: RNAcentral